CCCUUAGAUGUUCUGGGCCGCACGCGCGCUACACUGAUGCAUUCAACGAGUUUCUUCCUGGUCCGAGAGGAAUGGGUAACCUUUUGAAAGUGCAUCGUGAUAGGGAUAGACUAUUGCAAUUAUUGGUCUUCAACGAGGAAUUCCUAGUAGACGUAGUUCAUCAGACUGCAUCGAUUACGUCCCUGCCCUUUGUACACACCGCCCGUCGCACCUACCGAUUGAAUGGUCCGGUGAAGUCUUCGGACCGAUGCUAACUCGUUGGCAACGGAAAGUCGAGUAAACCUUACCAUUUAGAGGAAGGUGAAGUCGUAACA
This 314-nucleotide ribosomal RNA is filed under the name uncultured eukaryote. Its description in RNAcentral is "partial 18S ribosomal RNA". It matches the Rfam family "Eukaryotic small subunit ribosomal RNA", at positions 1470 to 1796 of the family's 1831-position model. The record is from RNAcentral.